CCUACGGGAGACAGCAGUGGGGGAUAUUGCACAAUGGGGGGAACCCUGAUGCAGCGACGCCGCGUGGGUGAAGGAGUGCUUCGGCAUGUAAAGCCCUAUCGGCAGGGAAGAAGCAAGACGGUACCUGACUAAGAAGCCCCGGCUAACUACGUGCCAGCAGCCGCGGUAAUACGUAGGGGGCGAGCGUUAUCCGGAUUCACUGGGUGUAAGGGGAGCGUAGCCGGCCAUGAAAGCCAGGGGUGAAAGCCCGGGGCCCAACCCCGGGACUGCCCUUGGAACUGCAGGGCUGGAGUGCGGGAGGGGCAGGCGGAAUUCCUGGUGUAGCGGUGAAAUGCGUAGAUAUCAGGAGGAACACCAGCGGCGAAGGCGGCCUGCUGGACCGCGACUGACGUUGAGGCUCGAAAGCGUGGGGAGCGAACAGGAUUAGAUACCCGGGUAGUC
This 441-nucleotide ribosomal RNA is filed under the name uncultured bacterium. RNAcentral's name for it is "partial 16S ribosomal RNA". It matches the Rfam family "Bacterial small subunit ribosomal RNA", at positions 338 to 795 of the family's 1533-position model. The record is from RNAcentral.